CACAAAUGUCUUCAUGUGACUCCAGCUUCAGAAGACACAAGAUUGAGAUGGAUUGAGUUCAUAUAUGAUGGCAACGUUCCUGCCACCACUUUGAAUCGGACUGUUUUAUCAACCUGGGCCAAUAUAACGCUGGAUUCUCUAAAAGGUUGUUAUUGAAAGAGGGGUCGGUGCCAUCUUUCCAUCGCAAUACUGAAGACGAGGGAAAUGCAAGCACAUCUGUUCACGGUGCUAGGCUACAUCACGUAGCAUGCCAGACGGACCCACCACAGAUGCGCACACAUGGAACGCAGCUUUCUAUGAAAACACUGCGACCUCACUACAAACGUACAGGCACACAGAAAACUGUGCUGCACUGAUGUUGGUGUUGGGACCUCAGCUGUAAGAGACCUCGCUUGGAGGAGGGAGAGGACAACCCAAGUUGUUCAAGUAUGGACUUCGGAGAGCCACAGGAUGCUACCUAUGAUCCUGAUGACUCAAUCACAGUCUUGACUGAGUCAGCAGAUGU
This is a long non-coding RNA of Pleuronectes platessa (European plaice), 505 nucleotides long. RefSeq lists it as uncharacterized. The transcript is spliced from 3 exons. The record is from RefSeq and is a predicted model, not a curated record. NCBI's taxonomy places the organism in Eukaryota, Metazoa, Chordata, Actinopteri, Pleuronectiformes, Pleuronectidae.